This 61-nucleotide transfer RNA is filed under the name Ictidomys tridecemlineatus (thirteen-lined ground squirrel). Its description in RNAcentral is "Spermophilus tridecemlineatus (thirteen-lined ground squirrel) tRNA". It matches the Rfam family "tRNA", at positions 6 to 65 of the family's 71-position model. Rfam says of the family: Transfer RNA (tRNA) molecules are approximately 80 nucleotides in length. Their secondary structure includes four short double-helical elements and three loops (D, anti-codon, and T loops). Lineage: Eukaryota; Metazoa; Chordata; Mammalia; Rodentia; Sciuridae. The record is from Rfam by way of RNAcentral.
UGUAGCUCAGUGGUAGAGCACUUGCCUGGCAUGUGUGAGGCACUGGGUUCGAUUCUUAGCA